CUUGGAGACAGAUACCGUACAACAUCAGAGAGCAAAUGUGGAAUCAAUUUAUGGUAAAAAUUGAUUACAUUUAUUUAAUAAUUAUCGUCUUCAUCUAUUGUUACUUUUUUUAUAUUGCAAACAAAGUGUACAUGGCAUCCUCAGCAUCAAAAUGAAAUAAAUGAUAUUUUCGAGAAGAAGGCUGCUAAUUGGAUUAAAGAUACUAUGUUCGCUGCUCGAAAUGCUGGUAAAAUGCCAGGGUGGUUAAGAGAAGAUAUUUGGGAUAAACUUCUUGCGAAAUGAAAUACCGAUGAAUGGACGAAGAAGAGUAAAAAAAUAAAGGCAAACCGUGCCUUCAGUAAAGGUGGCUCGUUGCACACAGGAGGAAAAGGAAAGAGGGUGAGAUAUGAGUCAUACUAAGGUCUUCGAGGAGAUGCCUAAGAAAAAGAAGAAGGACGGUACAAGAGAACACUAGGUGGAGACGCGUGCGUCAGAUACAUAUGAAGAUUAUCAUAAAAGGGUGGAAGAAUGGCAAUAAACUCAGCCUCCUUCAACUCAACCAACACCUGAUGAUUUGGCUUCAUUUUGGACAGAGGCAGCAGGUAGAGUAAACAAAGGCAAAGUCUACGGACUUGGAGUACGUCGACCUAUAGGUCAUCCAAAUCCACUCUUACCCAAUUUUUCUUCUUCUCAAAAUCAAGAACAUAUGAAAGAUAUGAGAAAAGAAAUUCUUGAUUUGAAGCAACAAUUGGACUCACAAUUCGGAACAUUUGUUAAGAUGCAAAAAUUCAUGAGAAAAUAUGGGCAAGAUCUAUCUGAUGAUGAGGAUGAACAAACUAAAUCUCAUUUGUAGUAGUUUAGGUAUAUGGUUUCGGUUGGUUGGUAAAUUUGAUUGUGAGAGACAAGUUUAGGUAUUUGGAUGUU
This is a long non-coding RNA of Nicotiana tabacum (common tobacco), 903 nucleotides long. RefSeq lists it as uncharacterized. Lineage: Eukaryota; Viridiplantae; Streptophyta; Magnoliopsida; Solanales; Solanaceae. The record is from RefSeq and is a predicted model, not a curated record.